CCAACCUACUCCUACAACGAAUAACCGGACGAAAGUCGGACUAAUACCGUAUGAUAUCCUAUGCAGGCAUCUAACUAGGAUUAAAGGUUUAGCGGUAAGGGAUGGGGAUGCGUCUGAUUAGGCAGUUGGCGGGGUAACGGCCCACCAAACCGACGAUAAGUAGGGGUUCUGAGAGGAAGGUCCCCCACAUUGGAACUGAGACACGGUCCAAACUCCUACGGGAGGCAGCAGCC
RNAcentral lists this ribosomal RNA (233 nucleotides) under uncultured Prevotella sp. RNAcentral describes it as "partial 16S ribosomal RNA". It matches the Rfam family "Bacterial small subunit ribosomal RNA", at positions 121 to 355 of the family's 1533-position model. Lineage: Bacteria; Pseudomonadati; Bacteroidota; Bacteroidia; Bacteroidales; Prevotellaceae. The record is from RNAcentral.